GGGAGACUUCAUGAACACUGUGCUAACAAGUUGCAGAACGAAUUCAAAACCCCGUCAGUUUUUGUGGGAGGGACCAAAGAUGGGAAAAGGAAGGGGUCAAAAUGACUUUUGAGCAAGUGUGGGAAAUUGAUUUAGGGGAUAAAAGGGGCUGGUCAUGUGCCAACAGGUUGCUGGUGUGUGUUCUUGUCUGUUAACUCCAUUUCUUACCCUCUCCUGGCAGAAGGGACUCCACUCUAUGUGCAUAUGUGCACAGAAGUCUAAGUGCCAGCGAUGGAAGAGUGAGGUGGUGUGUUGCUCUGUGAAUAGCAAGCUGGAUUUAGCCACCAAGUAGAACAAGGGGCCUGAGAGUCAGGCUACUCUGCUACUACUCAGGAAAGGAGUUCUGAGAGCUGUUCCAAUUCUGUGGUGUAUUCAGCCUUGCUGCCCGUCCUCCCUGAGCAAGCAAAAAGGCAAUUUAACAGCAAAAGCAUACAGCAGAACAUGAGGCAGCAGGGUAACAGCCUGGCUGGGGCUAGCUGCACUCACCAUUCAUGGGCAUCUCGUCUAUCUGGGUGGAGUAGUACUGCUCGAUGUCCCGC
Long non-coding RNA from Neopelma chrysocephalum (saffron-crested tyrant-manakin), 578 nucleotides. RefSeq lists it as uncharacterized. The record is from RefSeq and is a predicted model, not a curated record. The transcript has 3 exons. Lineage: Eukaryota; Metazoa; Chordata; Aves; Passeriformes; Pipridae.